Haemorhous mexicanus (house finch) is the source of this 13507-nucleotide long non-coding RNA. RefSeq lists it as uncharacterized. NCBI's taxonomy places the organism in Eukaryota, Metazoa, Chordata, Aves, Passeriformes, Fringillidae. The transcript has 2 exons. The record is from RefSeq and is a predicted model, not a curated record.
CCAGGGCAGGACAGCCCUUCUGGGAAAGAAAUGUUUCCUAAUAUGUUACCAGAACCUCUCCUGGCACAACUUGAGGCCAUUUCCUCUUGUCCUAAGCCAUCAUGUUUGGUUUGUGUGACAGCUGUGCACUCCAUCUGUUCCUGCAGAUGUGUCCACAGCCUGUUUGGGGUCUCAGGGUGAGGGUUGAGUGAAGAGCAAUGAUUUCUCCACCCCUUUGAGUUCCUUUGGGCUGUGCCAGGUGAUGUCUCGCCCGGUGCCUCAUGUAAAUACAGGCACAGAACAGAUGGAGGAGGUUGCCUGCUCUGAUUGAGCACAGAGCUCUGUUGUGGUGCCUGUUGCUAUAAACAUGCUGGCGAUUUGCACAAGUAUGUGGCAUUGUAAAAGCUCCUGAAAGAUUUUAUCUGAUUGAUUUUGGCUCAAAGCCCUUUAUUCACACAGAUAUGCCAGGUAGAAAGACAAUACAUGUGUAUCCAUGUGUAUAUUUUCAGCUUCCUAAAGACCAUCAAAUUUGAAAGGGAGUAGGUCUGCUUUACUGAAGAGUUGAAGAGAAGGUAACCCAGGAAAAGCCUUUCCUCUUAAAAAAAUACAAAUUGUAAAUGUUGCUUCUCCCUGUAUAGAUUGUCUGAGAGAUCUGUAACAAUCUCUUGUUGAGCUAUUUUGACUUUAAAAUAUUAGUUCAUAACAAAUCUUGAGUUGUCAGAACUAAAGUAUUGUACGAAAUAGCUUCAAGGUUACAUAAACAGAGUAGCUGGGAAACAAUUGGGUAACACAUGUUCAUCCAGACAGCAAAGAUGUUUAUUUUUUAAAGCAAUUUUCCACCUGAAUACUGUCCCUCUUUGUUUUGGGAAAUAUUGAUUUAAUGGGUUCAAAAUACUUUGUGUCAUGGAAAGGAGGGUAAAUGGCAGAGGAGGGAGGAGAGGAGCUGUUGCAGCAAUUGCCAAAGGUGUGUUUAAGGAGGUUUUUAAUGAGAAGUAACUGGGGAUGGGUGGGAGCUGGGAAGGACAAGGGAUAUAAAUUAGGGUGUGCUCGGACUGGGGUGAAAUAAUUGGGAAAAAUCAAGCAGAGAAGGAAAUCUUACUGCACCAGGGCAUAUGCCAGAGCAAGCUGCCCCUCUCCCCAGAUGUGCAUGUUUUCCUGCUAAAGUGACUGCGAUCAAAAAUAGGAGGUGCCUCUCACAGUGCCCCUUCUCAGCCAAGGCUCCAGCCGCUUUCUUUCUUCAUUAUUUUUGGGACAUUUUUUUCCCUAGCUGCAAAUCUGCAUUCAUUAAAUCAAUGUCAGCACAGCUUCCUAGAUGCUUACAGGACUUGUGUAUUCACACUGACCCUAAUUCAGCAAAACACUUAAGCACAUGUCUGACUUUGAGCAACCGAACAGGGCUCUGAGUAAUUAAAGCUAAACAUAAAUUGGUGUCUUGUUUAUUGAGGGCCUACUCAACUAAUUAGUUAAACCUUCCAUGAAAAGUCACCAAGAUCCUUAAUGUAGCAAUGUUCCACAAACAGCUGCUGUGGGACUCUGCCCAGGUCACAUUAUCUUGUUUGCAGUUUAGAUGCCUGAAAUAUCUUUUUUUUUCUUUCAUGUGUCUGGAGUUUUGUGCUCAUGAGUGCUCCCUCCUUUUCCAGUGAGGUACACUAAAGCCACCAAACAUUAAUUGAUUUAAAUCCACAUGGUACCUACCAGGUAGAUGUGGUAAAUCACAGUUGUCAGGUAAUUAAACACCCAUAAAUCACAUUGGAGCAUGUGAACUAAGCAUUCAGUGUCAAUGCUUUUUAAUUAAUGUUGUAAAACAAUAUUUUGGGCAUAGAUUAGGUGUAUGGGGCAGGUAACAUAUCAAAUUAUGGCUAAUAAAGCAUGAGCAGUAGGAAUGGCACUAGGAACCAGUAGCCUCUGUGAUCUCAAAUACCCUAACUGCACCCCUACAAGUGACCCUGCCUUGGAAGGCGGAAUGCAAAGUUAUUGCAGGGGGAUUAAAACUGGGCAUUAGACUCUCAUUGCUCUUGUAAUGCUGGAUUAAUUAAACAGAAAGCAGAAUUAUCUGCCCCCACCCCACCUGCUAAAAUGUAGCAGCAGGUCAUGAGAGAUUAGUCUUGGGAGGGAAGGAGAGAGGAAAGGAGGGAAGGAGGGAGGGAAAGGGCGCUGGCUCUGCCCUUUUUUGCAGGGUCGAUGUCUAUGUUGGUGGUGGGUUUCCCAGCCCUCCCUGGGAGUGGCAGGAGGGGCAGAAUGGAAGAAAAAAGGUGAUUUAUAACAUGUAAGGAAAGGGGCAGAUUUUGAAAGCAACAUGAAGCAGUGGGGUGCUGGUGAGUGAGAGCCUUCACGUGGCCCCAGAAAUCCGACCAUGACUUGAACUCAUCCCAAAGCAUGGGGAGGAUUCUGCCCAUCUGCUCUGGGGAGACCCCUCCUGCAAAGCUGAAUUCAGCUCUGCUGACUCCAAACAGCAGGGGGAAUGUGGAGCUGCUGGAGCAAGAAUUGUCCAGCCUGGAGAAGAGAAAGCUCCAGGGAAAAUUUAGAGAGCCCCUUCCAAGGCCUGAUGGGGAUACAAGAGAGAUGGAGACAGACUUUGGACAAGGGACUGGAGGGACAGGACAAGGGGGAAUGGCUUCACACUGACAGAGGGCAGGAUUAGAUGGGAUAUUGGGGAGAAAUUCUUCCCUGUGAGGGUGGUGAGCAGAGGGUGCCCAGAGAAGCUGUGGCUGCCCCAUCCCUGGGAGUGUCGGAGGCCAGGUUGGACAGAGCUUGGAGCAGCCUGGGACAGUGCAAGGUGUCCCUCCCCAUGGCAGGGGGUGGCACUGGAUGAGAUUUAAGAUCCCUUCCAGUACAAACUGUUCCAGGAUUUUGAGUGUGAUACUGUGUUCAGAAGGCAAACUCUGGUGCUUUUGAAAAUCCUGUGCCUAUUUUCCUUCCAGUCUCAGAUGGGUCAGUGGCUUGGAACAACUUUCCUGCAGAAUGACGGGGUGACCAACCAGGUUCAGUGGCAGUGGACAUACUCCAGGGCCCAGAUGGCUGUCAGGGAUGCCAAGGGUGAAAGUCAAAUAUUGAAUGGCACAUCCCAAAUCCUGCAAACUCCUUUGUGAUGUCCUGUCCAGGUUACAGUAAAUCCCCUGAUGUGCAUAGGGACUUUGGGGUGGAUUAAUGAGUGGAAAACCUUUCCUUAGUGGGUGUUUGCUGGGGCAAAUAGCCUGUGACCAUUUAUGGUCUAGACAUCCCACUUGGUACAGGAAUGCUGGGAAUCUGGGAUAAUUUAAUUAUGUUGCAUUUGAGAAUUAUGGAGCAAUCAAGAUGAAAAAAAAAAAUGGAAACGUCCUUUUAAAAUAAAAUGAAUGCUCAAUGUUAACAGCCCCAAUUUUUCACCAAAAGCUUCCUUUUUCAAGCAGAAAUCCUUAUUGAUAAGUCAGUGCUUUCUUGAUAAAGCCCUUAGCUAUAACUUUCUUUAAAGCCACUGGUGUAGAAAAAGCCUCAAAUGUUGAAAAAGGAUCAAACUGAGCCCUUCAAAAUGCUUAACUUUCAUAUUAUGAUCUCCUUGUUUUCCCCACAAAAGGAAAAAAAUUCAUCUCUAAGCCAACUACUCGUUUCCUUCUGUCCAGCUCCAAACUCUCCCAUGCUUGAAAAACCUGUUCUCUUCCCACAGAGCAUUUUAAUUCCAUCAGGCCAGCAUUUCCCAAAAUAAUGAACAUUUCUAGGGGCUGUUAAGCUGGUCUCCUAUUUAAAUUUACAUCUCUUCAUGAGAUUUCCUCAUCUCUUCUUUCCUCUUCUCACUCAGUCAUUUAUAUUAGAAGUAUCCAGAUAGUCUUUAUAACCCCUUACAUACAAAUUAUCUGUAAUUUAUUAAGGAUUAAGGUUUACCUAAACCCCACUACUUUAGUCACAUAUCCAUUACAUCACUCUGAAUUUGUCUUAGAAGUGCUUUUUGGCUUGCUGAGCUCCCCGUGGGAGGAAGCUUAAGUUCAGACCAAAUUUAUCGUGUCCCAAAUUCCUGGUGGGAAAGAACCAAUGUCGUCACUCAAGAUUUCCUGCAGAUCCCUGUGAUUUAACAGGGCUUAAAGACCACUACUAAAAAUUCCCAGGAAUUUGUUGUGCAAGUGAAAUCCUGACCCAGUGAUGUUUGUAGAUAAAUUCUAGUUGGUGGCUCAGGAGUGGGUUUUGAAGCAAUGCACAUCCUUUGGAGUCAGGAGGGAUGCAAUGCUGUUCCAAAUUAGAGUGGACUGUUUUGGAAGGGACAUGUCCAGGGAUCCUGGCUCUGGAACUCUCCUCUUCCCUCCCUUGCAGGGCUUUGGCCCUCCUGCCCUGAUCCUCACUCCUUUUCCUCUUCUCUCUUUAAACAGCAGCUCUGGGUCAUUGGUUUUCACCCUCAUUCCUCAGAGCUGCUCAACCAGUCCUCCCACCUGGGAGGCAAGUGGGAACAAAAAAGUUUUGUGUGUCUUCCAGGGGACUGUCAAAGUCCCAUGGCAUAAAUAUUAUUUGCCUGAAAGGGAAAAGGACUCUAGAAAAAAAAGGCAUAUAAAUAUUUUCUCCUUCCUCUCUUACACUUUAUUUUUGUUCCUUGAUGUGUUUGUUGUACAAGCCUGGUGUUCACUUACUGCUUGUCUUACCGAGGGGUCUUGAAGUGUUUCCCUCUUUCCUUGACUUUUUUGUUUGCUUAUUCUUUCAGUGUCCUUGGAUGAGCAAAAGGUGAAAAAUCCUCUGGCUUUUGAAAUGCUUCUGCAGGCUAGGGUGGACAGAUCUUGGAGUAAUCUGGUCUAGUAGAAGGUGUCCCUGCCCAUGGUAGGGGGUGGAACUGGAUGGGCUAUAAGGCCCCUUUCAACCCAAACCACUCUCAGGGAUGCUUGGGGAGGCUGGCAAAGAGUUUCAGUGUUUCAAGAGCUAUUCUCUCAGGUUCACUGCUCACCUUGAUUUUGAUGCCGCAGCUGGAUGUUGUAAUUAGGAGGUGUUGAUUGAGACAUCCUAAUAUUGAGGACAGAUAAUACAGGGUUUAGAGAAAUAACUUUCAGGUUGUUUCCUGCAUUUCCACUGGUCCUUGUGCUGUUCCAGGCACAUUUUCUGAUUUUUUCCCAUGGGCACCAAAGAGUGGAAAGCAAUUGUGAGCAAUAGCUGGUUUUGUCUUUUCAUUCUCUCACCUUCUUGUACAUGUGAAGGCUGUCUGCUUCCUCUGUGCUCCUCCUCUGAAGAGGGAUUUGCUGAUUUGUUUGUUUGGGUUUGUGUUGUCUCAGUGCUUGGCAUAGAGAGUCUCUAAAGCUUUAUGGGUUCUACAAGAAAUACCAUAACUCAUAGUGCUACUAAUGCUUAUGUGGCUCCAAGAACUGGGAGAAGAACACCUUUCUGCCUCGAGCUAAGCAAUGUUGUAACAAGUUAUGGCAAAAUCACUGCAGAAAUGCAGGUGAUUCUGCAGCAGAAAUGUCAUUCUGGAAUCUCUACUCUCAUUUGUGUUCUCCUCCAUUUUUCUGCUCUUUUCCUGUCUUUUUUUGUCUUGUUUGCUCCACAUCCCCUGCCAGCAAAGCAGCAAAAUAAAUCAGACCUGGUGGUGUUUCCUUUCUCCUCAAGAAGGGAUGUUAAACCUCCUGCAAACUGCCAGUUUGACUCAAAGGCAGGAGAACUUGGGGUGCUGCAUUUAAACUACCAGAGGGCAGGGUUAGGUGGGAUAUAGGGGAGAAAUUCUUCCCUGUGAGGGUGGGCAUACCCUGGCACAGGCUGCCCAGAGAAGCUGUGGCUGGGCCUUCCCCAGAAGUGUCCAAGGCCAGACUGGACAGGGCUUGGAGCAACCUGGGAUAAUGGAAGGUGUCCCUGCCCAGGGGAGGUGAUGAAACUGGAUGGGCUUUAGUGUUUCUUCCAAACCAAACCAUUCUACAAUUCUAUGUCACCCCGUAAUUGAGGGAAAUGCUCAACUACAGGUUGACACUAACCUCCUGUGCAAAUCCUCAGGGUGGGUUCAAUAUCACAACAGAAUUUUUUUUUUUUUUUUUUUUUUUUUGUCUCAUGAGACAAAACAGCCAUUGGGGGCUGCUGGAGGUUGGGCACAACUUGUCCCUUGUGUGUGUCACAGCUCAUCUGCACUUUCCAACUUCCAUCUGCCAUAGGGCUGGACUAAAUGUCUCACAGAGCUUAAUUGUUCUUCCACAGCAUGAAAUAAUUCACACCCCAGGGCUUCAUUGUUCCUGUGCACCAAUUUCCCCAAUUCACUCCAGGGCUUCCUGUGGAUUUUGCGGGCACUGUUCAUGGAAACUGAGGAGUGGGGACAGACAGGGCAAGAGGGAGUGACCUUCCCCCUCUCCCUUCCCACUUUCCAAGUCUUUCUCUCUCCAGGCACACAUGUCGGGGCAGUUCACACUGAUCUAGGUGAGGAGCUGGCAGAACAGAAGCUCAAAUCUCAAUUACCUUCCUCCUUGUCCGUUAGCACAGGAUCCUUAUCUCCCUCUGUGUAACUCUCUGUCUUUAAUUAUACGUAGUGAUAAUACUUCACACACUAAGUGCAUUAUUAAGCAAUUCCUAAGACAAGUAGCUUUCUGGAUCCCAAAUUGUGAUUAGAUAUUGGCAAUCAAGCUGCCUUCCACUCUUCCUCCUGGGGCUGGCCUGCCAAAGACAGGCUUGUAUGAGUAGGUGAGACACAAGACCUGAGUGAGAAGGAGAAAUUUAGAUAAGAGACUGCUCAUGGGUAAAAGGUUUAGUUGGUCACACAGGGCUCCAUGAAGCUUGUUCCACAAAUUCAUGUCUGGAUUUGGAGGUUGCCUUGCUGUUCCAGGCUGGCUAGGUGCAGCCAAGUGUCUUCCACAAGUGUUACACAUCCUAAUCCAUCAUUUGAGUUGUGGUGGCCAUGCAACUCUUGCAGCUCUUAGGUUUUGUGGUUUCCCAUGCAACCGCUGCCAUGGCAGAAGGAUGAGAGAGAUGCCUGGCAGCCAGCUUGUGGUGUUGUGUUUGUUGCAGCUUCACACUCUGAAACUGAGGAUCAGUAGAAAUUAGUUUCUUCCAUUUCUUUGCAUAGUUUUUGUUCUGUGGUCCUCUGACCAUGUCAGUUGAGCUCCUCUGCUCCCUCUCAGUAUGUAGAAUCCUUGAACAAUUAGGGUUAGAAGGGACCCUAAAGACCACCCUGUUCCAAGCCGCCUGCCAUGGGCAGGGACUCCUUCCUCUAGAGCAGAUUGUUCCAAGCCUCAUCUUACUAGUGCUGGGAAGAUGAACUGAAGGUUUUGAAACUUGGUGAAGGCUUCAUCAGCACAGAAUACUUUAGUUUUUCUGCUGGAGGUUUGCCUUGCCUUCCUACUUUACCCUUCCCAAGUAUAGUAGGGGAGGGAUGAGGGCCAGCAGAGUGUGAUCAGGCUGGCAGAGGAGCCCCCUGAUAUCCAGAAAUGGGAUGUGACUAGGCUCCAUGGUCAGAGCAUCUCUUGUGGCAGUCUUCCCUCUUUUGCCAACAACAUUUCUUGUGCCAUCUCAAGUUAUCUCAGUGCAGUUCCCUUAUCCAAGUGAUCUCCUACCCUGCAUGCAGGCAUGAGAUCUCUGUGCCGCAAUGGCUAAGGGAUUAUGGAGAUUGCUCCUAAUUCUGCGAAGGAAAAUGCUGCUUGUAAGCAUAAUCGAGAGGGCGGCUUUGGAGCUGAUGACUCUAAGCUCAUGUUUUAGAUGUAUCGUGUUUCACCUCUUUCAAGGCAUUUAAGAGCUUACCAGAAAAAUAAAUGUCAUUGCUCAAUCUGUGGAGUGUCUAUAAUGCAACUUGCUGUGUCAGUCCCUUCCCUCCAAGACACAGUGGAAACAGAUUUAUUUUGCUUUCCAGGCCCUCCAGAGGUCACGGCUGUCCCCACCUUCAGUGCUAAUGCAUAUGAAUGUAUUUGUGUAUGCGUGUAAAGUGCACGUGUCCAUGUACCUGUUAAGAGCAUAUUCAUCCACUCUCCAGAUAUUUCUGGUGAAAGAAGUAUUUAGUCUUAGCUGUUUCUAGGAAAUCAUAAAUCUUAUUUUUGUUAUAUAUGUGCCUCUGUGAUUUGCACAAGGACAGACUGGCUCAGUGUAGCUAAACAGUCUGUCGAGCAAGGUUGUCCCCCGAUCUUAAUAUUCAGUCAUGAUUAGCUCAGUCCUGAUACUUGCACUUGAAUGUGUAGGAGUAGCUUAAAUAACCCCCAAUGUCUAGAGCUUUCUGCCUUGAAAGCUCGAACCCUUGUCACAUCUGACUAUAAAAAAAGGGUAAGAGAUUCUGAAAGAGGGUGGGUCUAGUUAGAUAUAGGGAAGAAAUUCUUCCCUGUGAGGGGGGAGAAGCCCUGGCACAGAGAAGCUGUGGCUGCCCCAUCCCUGGGAGUGUCCAAGACCAGGUUGGGCUUGGAGAAACCUGGGAUAGUGGAAGGUGUCUCUGCCCAUGACAGGGAGUGGGACUGGAUGAGCUUUAAGAUCUCUUCCAACCCAUACCACUCCAGGAUUCUGUGUACUGAGGCUGUCCAAACUUUAGGGACCUACGUAAAUCACUCACAGUGCCUGCAGCUUCAAGUAUUAAACAGGGAUUCAGGGACAAAAAGGGCCAAACCCCUAAAAUUUGAUGCUGAAUUUGCUACUUGAAGAUGAUUUACAGAUUUGGAAGUGAAGACGUCUCUGGCAAAGAUCAGUUAUGUCCCUGAUAAGGCAUUUCUUGCUCUCUUGAGAAUUAAUUUUAAAGUGGGAGAGCCCUGGUCUGGCCAUGUGUUUAUCCCACAGUCAAGACCAAGUCCUGCCAUGCACCUGAGCUCUGUGCACUCCAUGCCCCAGCACCACUCUCUCUGCUCUGUGUCCUGGUGCAGCUUCUCAUUACCUCCCUUAAUGAAGGAGCCGUUUGCCAGCAAGCAAAUCAUCAGGUUUCACACCGCACUUCCCUUUGGGAGGAUAACAUUUGUGAAACAGCAGGGAAGGUGAGAAGACAGACCUCAAAAAGCUAUGCUAAUGUUCCCUGGAGUGCCAACAAUAAUACAUUUUCUGCCUUAAUACCUUGCAUUUUGCAAGUGCAUUUUGUUGUGCCUCUCACAGCAUUCUGCAAACGUUAAUUAAUUACAGUCUCAUUACAUCUUUGCAAGAUCCAUUUAUUUAUAGAUGAAGAACUUUCCAUCCCCAAGCACUCUGGAAUCUUCCUGAAGACAAACAGCAGGCCUGGAGAGACGAGCUUUGCCAUGAAAAUGUUGGAAAUAAACACGAAGUUGUUCUUGUGAGCAACUUUGGGGGUUUGGAAUUCAUUUGGGGUUUGAUUCCUGCUUCUGCGAACCAUGUCAAUUGAAUUCUGCCGUGGUGUAAAUGGACAUGCUUUUUUGGAGAGGAUGAUGAUGGGAUAGGUACCAUUCCCUGUCCAAAGUGAUAUGCUCUCCUAAUGUGCUGUGCACAAAUUAGGAGAUUCAUUUAAACCACAGCUGAAACACCAACAUCCUGGACGGCUGUUUCAUACCUGGUAUGAUAGUCUGUGUGAAAACAUCCUUUUUGUCUCCAUCUCUUGUUUUGCUCUUUGCACUGAAAGGUAUUUGGGAUGAGAAGAGGCCAUUCCUUAUUCUGUGCUUGCACAACAUAGAAAAUAGUUUUGGGUUUGUUUCUCCAUGGCACCAUUUGCUGCUUUAAUCUUCCAGGUUUGAGCAAUGAAUGUGGGGAAUACCAGUUGGAGAAAUUUUGGUUGAUGGUGAGCAGUAAGGCAGGCAGAGGUAAGAACAGGAUUACCUGGGCUGAUUUCAUGUAAUCUCCUUGCCACGUGAGUUUUAAUUCCCACGUCAGCAGGGUUUAUUGAGUUGCACAGCACAGCUGCAUCUGCAAAGUACCCCCCAGCUGUCAGGCUGGGCAUCACUACUGACUUUGGGAACAGGUUUAGCACCCUUGGCUUUCCCACAGCACUCAGGUUGCUCUGGAAGUUAGCUGGCCUUGUAUUACCCUGAUCCCCUCACUGCCCAAGAGUUUGGAUCAUUACAUGGACAUAUUUCUCCAGGCUCUGAGAAGUGCCUGGAGGGAAAGCAAGCUGGGAGAUGCUGGGAUAAAGCCAGCAGCACACCUGGGAGCAGGCUUCCAGCCAGUCAGGGUAGUACCCAGGGCUGUCCCAAGGACUGGGCAGAGCUGAGGGUCUGGCCAUGCCCUCACCACUCUCACAUGCAGUCUGGUUCUUCUCCAGCAACAACAGGCCUCAAUGCAGACACCCUGAGAGGCACCAUAGAGGAGCAAUUAGCUCCUGUGAAAUUUUCUACCAUUAGGAACAAUGGCUGGCUUAGUUCUCAUCUGAUUGAAUUAAUGAUAUUCUAACAAGUGACAUUUUUUCCUUUUAAAUUCUCUCAUUUGGAAGGAAUUGCUUGUCGUAAAUUACACUUAUAAAAAUUAGGCUGGUGUUUUGUAUUGUUUACAACAAGCACUUCAGGGUUAUGGAUGUUACUCAUUGAUUUAUAAUGUUUAAUUCUUCCCCCUUUCUUCCCUCCUCCUUUGAACUGUUCAUAAAUCAAGCAGCCCUGUCAAACCUGUGUCAACAUUUCACUCAGUCUGCAAGUUGCAGGCAAGUUGGGACAGUGGAUCUUACAGAGAAGGCUGACUCUUCUCCUUCACUGUCUCUCCCAUUUUGGUGAAACAAUAAAAAGGUGAGGCUGGCACUUGUCAGUUAUUUCUGAGUCACUUUUCAUUAGGCCUUUUUCAAACACUCCAGAGAACAAUGUUGGAGGCAAGUGAUCCAAACAACUCAUGUUCCCACUUGUGCACUUGUGGGUUAGGGCAGCAGCUGCUGUGGAAUUACACUGGGAGGCUCAACAGGUGUCUGAUGGUCCUGGACCAGAUCCGGAUGAUGUCAGGCAGCCUUAUCCUGGCAGCCUCCCUUCCCCACCAACCUGGGGUCAUCAUUUCAAAAGCCUGGGGACGUGGUUGGAUCUUUUUGAAGGGUUCUCCAAGAACUGAUGGGACUUCCAGGAGUGUCCAAACUUGGGUAGAGUCCCUGGGGAUUUGCAGGUGACCCAGAGCUGGUGCCUGGGAAAACCCCAAGAGAAGGAGAAUUUAAGGGGCGUCAGUGACCGACACAGAAUCUUGGAUUGCGAUGAGCUGGAAGGGACCUCAGAGAGAAUCUAAUUCCAACCCCAGCACUGUGGCUCCAACAUGAGGGUUUCAACAUUGUGCAAGUGGUCUGUGGAGUAAGGGACUGAUACUUGAGGGAAAUUAAUGGAAAUUGGGGGCUGAAGGUCCUCUGAGUGCUUCUGGCAGCAACUUGCUUAGUCAUAGAAUAAAUUAGCUGCCUUAGAAAACUGGGAAAAAACCUUCUUUUCCCCAACAUGCUGCUAAGGAACAGCAGAGGUCUGGAAAAGAAUACCCGAAGAUGUGGGUGCAUUGUAAAAUUCCCUGCAUCAGGUCAAAACUGAGCACUUUCAGCCCUCAGGUCAAAUAUCAGGGAGCUGCUGCGCCUUCAACAUUGAACUGUCAUUGUGAUAAUUCACAGUGUCUGACCUCCAAAAGUCAAAAGGUUGGUAGUGAUGCUCCACAAAAUUCAUCCCACAGGAUGAACACAGAUGUUUCUACUGGGAUUGAAUGUAAAAUGAACAACCGCAUCAGCAGGGAUGGUUGUCCCCUGUUUCUCCUGCCCAUCUGCUCUGUACCGUCAUCAUCCCUGCUUUGGGAGGAGCAAGGCAUCACAUCAAGCCUAAAGUGCCUGCUGGAUGCUGGUGUGUGUGUGUGGAUACCUGGGAUAAUUCCUGCCCACACAAUGCCUACACCAGGCGAUUUUACCAGCUGGCCCCUUUGCUAAGCAGUGGGACUCGCCCAGUUGUAAUAACAAAAGUAAAUAAAUACAUUUUAAUGAUCCAAUGGUGGUAAUUAACAAUGCUGAAAUACAGAUGUCUCCCCAAAGAACUCACAAGGCGGCUCAUUGCAUAAGCUGCCCCAUUAUACGGAUAUGAGUUGAUUAUUAAAAGAAAACAUUUAGCUAAUGCAGAACAGGAUAUUCAUCUGCUAUUACAUAAUGGUAAUAAGCAACUGGAUCCAGGCAGAAAUAGUCUUCCAGCCCUUACUGAAUGCCAGGUGAAGUGCAUUUAUUGCUUCCACUGUGAAAUUGUCCUCCUUGUUUUUCCAAGAAGAGGAGAGAUCUUUCAAGAGAUAAUAAAUAAAUAGACUCUAGUUGCUUUAACAUGAAGCAAGAUGAGUCCUCGGGAUUAGUUUGGAUUAGUCUGUUGCCAGUGGCAUGGAGGUUUGGCACUCAGCCAUUUAUUCACCUAGAAGACGUACAGCUAAUUGGAAAAGCACCUGUGAGGAGAUGUAGCUCACCACCUGCACUUUGCUGAAAUAAAAUGAGCCUACAGAAUUGACUACAUUACCUAUUAAUGUUAUGAAAUCACCCUGAGGCAUUAUUAUUAUUAUUAUUAUUAUUAUUAUUAUUAUUAUUAUUAUUAUUAUUAAUCUCCUCUCCCUCCUCUUCUUCCUGAAACUUUUAUGAAUCAAACUUUGGUCUCUUGCUGUUUCCUUGGAAGCCCCAGGAUUGUGUCACUGUAUCAAGACCAGGACCGCUCUGACUGAAUUGCUUCUCUCUGCAGAGGAAUCCUAGGAAAUUAAUCCUUCUUAAUAGGGAGAUGAAAUGGCCUGACAUUUAAUUCCUUUUUGUCAUGGGACACAGCUUCCUCCUGGUCUCUAUCUUUUUCCCCAAAAGAGUCUGGUGGGAGUGAUUUGAUUGUCCUGCUGGUUGCUGGGAUAACCCAGAGCCUCGUGAUGAUAAAACAACUUCCUGUUGGCUUUUUUGUUGACCCUGGCCAACAGCACAAGGCGGACUUUGCCCAGACACUGUUGGCAGAAGCUGUUGUGAGCUCAGUGUGGUUGGCUGGUUUUGGGGUGGGCAGGUUCCCUGCCUUGCACUGAGCACAUUGGAAAACAGAUUGGUCACAUAUAGGAUGUUGUGAACAAGUUUACAAGCUAAUACUGCUAGAGUCGUUAAGGUCAAUUUGAAAUUGUAACAAGUUGUGUUAUUUAAUUUGUGGUUCCUUAAGUUACCCCUUUCCCUCUUAUCCUGUAUUUGUAUCCCUUUUCUAUCCUGAACAAGUUCACAAGUUAAUACUGUUAGAGUUGUUAGUGUUAAUCUGAAACUGUAACCAGUUGUGUUAUUUAAAUUGUUGUUAAAUCUUUAAGUUACCCCUUUCAGUCUUACUCUGUAUUUGUAUCCUUUUUCCAUCAUACUCUGUAUUUGUACCCCUUUCCGUCUUGCCCCGGAGUUGUAUCCCCUUCCAUGGGGAACCACUUCCCAUGCUCCCAGAAGGACUUGCACCCAAGCUGAAUUUUAAUGAGAGUCUGAUGGUACUGUAUCAACCCUCUCAAAAACAACAAAGCAACACAUAAACUGACUUUAACCCAGCAGAACCACACGAGAUCACCCACCAGUGACCAGAGCUGGAUUCCAUUCUGUCACCAUAAUUUCAAUGGCACUCAGCUUAGAUGACACUCCUAGACUACAAGCCACCAGUGUCUUCCUAAGGACUCUCAUGAGGACAGAAGCCCCAGCUGUGCUGAGAGACAAAGCUGAACUCCUCCUCCUCAGUGUCGUCCUGUGCUCGGGCUCCCCACCCAGAGCUGUUUUUAAUAAAGGCCUUCUAAAAGA